AUCCCAUGUCUCUGGGCUUAAUUCUCUGUCAGGACUCAUUUGAAGUAGUCAAUCAAUUAGGCUCAACCACUGACCAUAUGCAACUUGUUCUCCUUUGCAGAGAGAAAGAUUUUCAGUUCUUUGGACAAGACUUGGUGAUGGGAUAGCUGGUAAAGGACCUAAAAGACCUUGAGAUUCUGUGAAAUUGAUAGACCAACAUUUGUGGCAGACCCGCUUAGCAAGGGACCAAGCAGGACUGUGGAGUCAUAUAAAGAAUGAUGUCGACAGCUGUGGGGGAGGAACUACAAAACGUCAUUUCCAAAGCACUGCCUGGUCUUCCUGAAGAAAAGAAGGAACAGUUGCUGCAGAGACUUCUUUGCUGGGGUGUGGAGAGCACAGAUGAUCUUAAGUAUGUGGAGGGAGCUCCUGGAGUGGACCUGUCUGAUUUACUCCCACCCAUCCAGAUUCGUAAACUGCUAGACAGCUUUAAGAGAGCUGGAGAACAAAGUCAAUCUGGUGAUGUUCCUCUAGCAAUACCGCCUUCCUCAACUGUCACCUUAGACACCAUGAGCCAGCCAAGCCUUUCUUCAACAGUUACUUGGCCUGAGUCAUUUCAGCUUCCUUGGAACCAAAUGACAAGUGAAUUAUGCAGUGCAGUAGCAAAUGGAAAGAGACCACUCCCCCCUGAUCGACGCAGAAUGAUUCGCAUCAUUGUUAAUGAAAUGAGGAAACAUGAAAAGAAUCCAAGCAAAGCUCAGUGUCGUGCUGUUGCUCUCAAAAUUGUGAAAGACUAUCCAAAAAGCUUUUCUGAUUUAGAUGAUACUCAGGAAAGUAAUGAAAUUGCAUGCUACUCCCUCUUAAAACAAAUAAAAACUCGUGUUGAGCACGUUAAUCGAGAAAAUACUUUAUCACAGAGGCGACGGGGUCAGCGGAGUAUCCGAUGAUACACCUAUUAGAAUGCAAUGCAGAGGACCAACAGCCACAUAUGGCUGUACACAAUAGCAGCCUGAGCCUCCGCUUGCAAAUUCUGAUGAUGCACUCGAGGAGAAGAGACAAACUUUAGAGAACCUGUACCAGCGAUAUGGAAAAGGUGGAGCUGACAGGAGUGAAAUUUGGACCUUAAUGAAGGAAACUUACUAUUUACAAAGAAAGCACAUCAAUCACACACAAGCACCUCCGAUCAAAGACCUUAAAAGCAAAUGGCCAUACCUGUUUGUGCAAAUGCACAUAUAUGCACAUUUUGAAGAGCUUACUGGGAUUGCCAUACACAGAAAGCUCAACCAGUCCAUGCAAGAGUAUGGUAACGUUCUUGUUGACUUUAAGAGCAAACCCACAAAUGUUGUUGUCAAGACAGUCUUGUCCAGCGAAGAAGACGACAUUGGCCCUCUUGUGAUUAAACUUCUCCUUGCACAUUUCCGAGAGGAACCGGGUGGACUUACUACUUCAUGCAGAUAGGUGUGCCACAGCAGAUGACCUUCAAGUGAUGCACACCAUACCUGGGAGCCCACGACUAUUUGUGCUUGGAGACAGUUUGACUACUGGGCACUGGAUGUUGUCAAUUGAAGGCGAGGUUGUGUGUGAGGGCAUUCAGCCCAAUUUCCUGUCUGGCCUUGCCACUCUGUUUGCAUCAUAUUACGUAUUCAAUCUGGAGUACCAGGAAGAAGCAGCGUGUACCUUGGAGUUCAUUCAGAGGCGCUUUGUCUGCAUUAAUCCAGAGAGAGGAACAAAAAUGUCAAAAGGAAAAGUGCCAUCUAAAACAACAGGUCAAAUGGUACAGAAAAAGCAGGUUUCAGUAAAUCCACAUGUUGCUACCCUUCUGUGCAAAGUCAUGGACUUUCAGUGGAAUUUCUAAAACCUACUCUUUGCAUCCUGUUGAUGGAUUACCAUCUGAAGAUGGGUUGUUCUUUGUUUGAUCAGUUUCUUGGACUAAUUUGGGGCAUUGUUGUCUG
This is a non-coding RNA of Misgurnus anguillicaudatus (oriental weatherfish), 1928 nucleotides long. The record is from RefSeq and is a predicted model, not a curated record. NCBI's taxonomy places the organism in Eukaryota, Metazoa, Chordata, Actinopteri, Cypriniformes, Cobitidae.